Molecule: non-coding RNA, 31 nt
Filed under: Mus musculus (house mouse)
Lineage: Eukaryota; Metazoa; Chordata; Mammalia; Rodentia; Muridae
Source: RNAcentral
UAAACCUUCUGGAAAAAAAUUGAUAGCACCU